RNAcentral lists this ribosomal RNA (468 nucleotides) under uncultured bacterium. RNAcentral describes it as "bacterial SSU rRNA". It matches the Rfam family "Bacterial small subunit ribosomal RNA", at positions 28 to 507 of the family's 1533-position model. The record is from RNAcentral.
GACGAACGCUGGCGGCGUGCUUAAAACAUGCAAGUCGAACGGACUUCUCAUGAAGCUUGCGAUUGAGAAGUUAGUGGCGGACGGGUGAGUAACGCGUGGGCAACCUGCCCCUGAGCCCGGGAUAACAGUUCGAAAGGACUGCUAAGACCGGAUAUACUUGCGGUGAAGCAUUUCACUGCAAGGAAAGGGAACGCUCAGGGAUGGGGCCCGCGUCCCAUUAGCUAGUUGGUGAGGUAACGGCCCACCAAGGCGACGAUGGGUAGCCGGCCUGAGAGGGUGAACGGCCACACUGGGACUGAGACACGGCCCAGACUCCUACGGGAGGCAGCAGUUGGGAAUCUUCGGCAAUGGGCGCAAAGCCUGACCGAGCAACGCCGCGUGAGUGAUGAAGGUUUUCGGAUUGUAAAAGCUCUGUCUUCCGGGACGAUAAUGACGGUACCGGAGGAGGAAGCCACGGCUAACUACGUG